This 77-nucleotide transfer RNA is filed under the name Methanobacteriota archaeon. RNAcentral describes it as "Euryarchaeota archaeon tRNA-Pro". It matches the Rfam family "tRNA". From Rfam's summary of the family: Transfer RNA (tRNA) molecules are approximately 80 nucleotides in length. Their secondary structure includes four short double-helical elements and three loops (D, anti-codon, and T loops). Further hydrogen bonds mediate the characteristic L-shaped molecular structure. tRNAs have two regions of fundamental functional importance: the anti-codon, which is responsible for specific mRNA codon recognition, and the 3' end, to which the tRNAs corresponding amino acid is attached (by aminoacyl-tRNA synthetases). tRNAs cope with the degeneracy of the genetic code in two manners: having more than one tRNA (with a specific anti-codon) for a particular amino acid; and 'wobble' base-pairing, i.e. permitting non-standard base-pairing at the 3rd anti-codon position. Lineage: Archaea; Methanobacteriati; Methanobacteriota. The record is from RNAcentral.
AGGGAUGUAGUUCAGCCUGGUAGAACACGUGGUUUGGGACCAUGAGGUCGCUGGUUCGAGUCCAGUCAUCCCUACCA